CUCGCCUCCCACAGAACCAGCCAAUGCUGGAAGAUGCCCCAGCUUCCUUGUUCAGAAGAUGCCGUCACCACGCCUGAGCGUCACUUCCAGGGGCAGCUGGCAGAAGUGCAGCCAGGGUCCUUAGCCGCUGAGACUACACACAAAGGCCACCUCUGCCCACCGCGGGGAGGCCCCCAGUCUGGAGCACACAAGCUACCUGAGCCCGCGAAAUGGGAACAGCUGCAUCCACCUAGAGGUGGUGGGCAGGGGAGCCUGAGAUGAGGCUCUGAGAGGCUCCACCACUCCACCUGCAGCCCCAAAAGAGAGGCAGCGCUGGGACAGACGCUGGCCUGUCCCUCACUGUCUCUCCUGCACAGUUACAGCCUCAAAGAGUACUCUGUCUACUUGCUGGUCCAGUCCAAGAAAAGUGGCCUCAAAAGAGGCCACUCGCCAGCUCCUGACCAAAUGGUGAGGAGGAGAAAUUGGGGCCUCGACUUCCACACCAGGUCCUGCUCAUCCUCAGAACCGGGCCUAGACUUCCACACGAGGUCCUGCUCAUCCUCGGAACGGAGCCUCGACUUCCACACCAGGUCCUGCUCAUCCUCAGAACCAGGCCUAGACUUCCACACCAGGUCCUGCUCAUCCUCGGAACGGAGCCUAGACUUCCACACCAGGUCCUGCUCAUCCUUGGAACCAGGCCUAGACUUCCACACCAGGUCCUGCUCAUCCUCGAAACCCCGCAACCCUGCUUGGGUUAUCUGGG
RNAcentral lists this long non-coding RNA (742 nucleotides) under Homo sapiens (human). Its description in RNAcentral is "HSALNT0234695". The record is from RNAcentral. Lineage: Eukaryota; Metazoa; Chordata; Mammalia; Primates; Hominidae.